RNA transcript from Megalobrama amblycephala (Wuchang bream), 4989 nucleotides. It is a transcript of the gene named KH domain containing, RNA binding, signal transduction associated 1b, with no coding region annotated. Lineage: Eukaryota; Metazoa; Chordata; Actinopteri; Cypriniformes; Xenocyprididae. The record is from RefSeq and is a predicted model, not a curated record. The transcript has 11 exons.
UCGUCUCAAGCUUUUGUUCAUCUGUUUCCAACCGCACGCCGGAGAACAGGAGCCAUUGCGACUCACCACAGUUACAGCGCGGUCUUCAGCAGCAGCAGCAGCAGUCGCGCGUGUGUUCGUAUUACCUCUUGCAGGAAGUGGAUACUGAAAUAGUUUCACUGUCGGACGUUUGGUGUAUAAAUCUUCAUUAACUUACAAACUCAACAUGGAGAACGAGAACAAAUACCUCCCGCAGCUGCUGGCGGAACGAGACAGUCUGGACGCGUCGUUCACGCACGCCAUGAAACUUAUAUCAGCAGAAAUCGAAAGGGUACAGAAAGGGGAGACCGAGAAAGAUACAGAAAGCUACCUGGACCUCUUUACAACAAAAAACAUCAAACUGAAGGAAAGGGUUCUCAUACCAGUCAAGCAGUACCCUAAAUUUAACUUUGUUGGGAAGAUCCUUGGACCACAGGGGAACACCAUCAAGAGACUGCAGGAAGAGACGGGCGCUAAGAUCUCUGUGUUGGGGAAAGGAUCCAUGAGGGACAAAACCAAGGAGGAUGGCUUGAGGAAAAGUGGAGAGCCGAAGUAUGCACACUUGUCAAUGGAACUUCAUGUGUUCAUCGAGGUGUUUGCUCCUGUUCCUGAGGCAUAUGUGCGCAUGGCUCAUGCCAUGGAGGAGAUCAAAAAGUUCUUGUUCCCUGACAUGAUGGAUGACAUUUGCCAGGAGCAGUUCAUGGAGAUGAAGUAUCUAAAUGGGGGUCAGGAACAUGGGGCCAGAGGCCGAGGAGGGCCACCCAUCAGAGGCCGUGGAGGUCUUCCUCCUCCUGGGGCACCCAGGGGUCGUGGUAUGCCCCCACGUGGAGGUGGCCGUGGCGGACCCCCUCGAGGUGGAGCCACAAGGGGAGCUCCUGCAGGUAGAGGUGGACCAUCAGCCCAGCAGCCCAGAGGAGCAGCUUCUAACCGUGCCCGUCCACCCGCUUCUGCGUCUCAGCGGAUGCCCCCUCCACCACCCCCGCACCCUCCGGCCCAAGAGUCGUACGAAGACUAUUCUUAUGAUGAGAGCUACACAGAGCCAGGCUAUGAAUCCUACGAGAGCUACUACAGUCAGCCACAAGCAGAGCCAGAAUACUAUGACUAUGGACACGGAGAGACACAGGAGGGAUAUGAAAACUAUGCUCAAGAUGACUGGAACGGGACACAGCGCGCAGCUGCUGGUGGAAAAGCUCCCACUCAGAGACAGACUAAGCCUGGGUUCAGGGAACACCCCUAUGGACGAUACUAAGUCUGACUAGCGGAACGUCACCCAACGCGUCGCCAUGACAACUGUCUCCCAUGGCAGCUCACACUUUAAGCUACCCGACAAAAGUUGUGAUGCCUGGAAAUUCCUGGAAAUGGAAUGUUGAAACAAGAAUGUCAGACCUCUCCUCAGGCAAAGACAAGUGUUUGUUUGCAGUAUAAGAGCAAUCUUACCUUUUGAACACCAGCAGUCUUUAUGGAACCAUGGACAGUCUGACUGGACAACUUCUGAACGGGUUGGAAUGGCAGAAAUCGAUGGUCCUGUCAGCUAAAGUUUAAACCAGCAACCUCUUAAUGGGUUGAAGUGGAAAAGUCUUGAGUUCUGGUGCUGUGUGUAUCUGCUCUCCAGUGGUUAUGCAAAGUCGUUUCUCUGUACUGCAAAAUUUCUCUUUACUGUUCACCUCAAGUGCUUUCUAAGCACGCUUAACUUUAAAUGUUCAUCUUUAAAUUGACCUCUUCUGCUCAUGUUGGCCAAGAAAUCAUUUUAACAAGCUUGAAAAAUUCUGUCCGGGCUCUCUAGACGUCUACCUCGCACAAUACUCCAGUGCUUUAUUCUGCAAGACAAGCAUGUCUUCCCCAGUUCCUCGCUCGGAGAAACGUACAUGCUAAUUUAGAGCUGUCCAGCCCCUAUCUCUUAGCACAGACUUUGUCCUUUAAUUGCCAUGGUAAUUUUUGUCUUGCUCUUGAGUAGAUAUGUUUGAAUGGGUUUAAGCUGCCAGAACCGCCUUGCCGUUUGUGUGAAUCUCAAUUGAAUUUUCCAUCUGUUGGCAACUGUUGAUCUAAAUCAUGCUAACAUUGUUACUGUCUGGAUAAUGGUCUUUCUUGCCCUAAUAAGGGCUUUUUACACUUGAAAUGGUUAACCCUGGGUCACUCUAAACCCCUGGUAAAAGAAAUCUUGGGUUAUCUUUAUUCACGUUUCACACUGCUCAUACCAUACCUGGGCUUAACAGUUAAUCCUGGGAAUUCAUAAACUGUCCUUUCACACUGCACAUUCCUAAACCCUGGGAUAAAGUCCUUAUCUGCAUAUUUGCGUUGUUCGUGUCUCUGACUGGACAAACGCAGCACGUGACCUGUUUACAUAAAGGCUCUAGCAUUGCGUGUCCUCAUAUUAUACAUGGCUGAAUAUCAAGUUUUGUUUUUUUUUGAGUGAACUAUAGUCUCUUCACUCCAAUUGUCAAUUUUCUGUUGCAUUUUCCUUUGCCAUUUGCCAUUUUUCCUAUCAUACUCAGUAACAACUAUUUAUACAUUGCGUAUUGUUUCCGUGACUGCCCGAAGCACGUGAAUAUAACGCAUGUGAUUGGUUGUUGGCUGCUUAACAUCUAGUUGUAACAUUCUGACCCUAUCGUUUCACACUGUACAAGUUUGGCACCGCAAUGCUCCAGAGCAGGGUUUCAUAACCCCAGGUAAAAAGCAGCGCUAAAACCCGCAUCUAAAUUUAAGCCCUAUUCGGACGGGAUUAGUUUUACAUGGGGAGGUGGAGUAAUGUAAUUUUACCUCAGGAUGUCUGUAAUAUUAAUGGCCAAUUUGCACGGGGUAAGACAUCUCAGUAAAACUAGCAGAAGUGGGAGGGGUAACUCGAUUUACGCACCGCCGUCACCUCCCUGUCGUCAUGUGGGUAUACGUUGCUUCCUGAUACCAUAUGUGCAAACACAUAUUCUAAAUUUAUAAACUAUAUAUAACAGUUAGGUCCGGUCAAAUGAUUUAUUAAAUUCUGAUUGGAUUAUGAUGGUAAUAGGCACUUAGCUAAAGCUAAAAUUUUGUGCCUCUGACAAGUGCUUUCGAUCUUCUUUUUGCUCUGAAUGGUAUGUGGAUAAUGCUUGAGGUUUGUCACAGACUUGUCCCACCACCACCACUUCAAGUGCUUCCAUGCUUGAAAAAUGCACGGAAAACUACUUUUAAACAGGAAAUGAUGGCAUUUUACCGUACAUAUUAACAGCGUGUCUAUUCGAACGGGAUUUGUAUUACCUGAGGUAAUUUUCCAGACCUUUUUACAGAAGGUAAAAGUCGCUGUAAUCUUUACUGACAUUGUCAGUAAUGAUUACCGAGAUGGCACAUUUGGACAGGGCUAAAAUCACUGAGAAGCUCUGGUAAUAAUUACUUUACCCCACCUCCCCAUGUAAAACUAAUCCUGUCCGAAUAGGGCUUUAGUGUGAAACGCUCCUUUACCCGGGGUUAAAAGCUGUGUUUGGAACGAUGAUAACCCGGGGUUAAGCACAGUGUGAAAAGCUCUAUAGAGAGCUUUCCAUAAAUUCAGCUUUUUCUAAUCCUUGCUGUGCAGAGUCUGAAUUUGGCACUGCAUGGCUUUUGUGCAUGUGCAUGUGCAUGUUUUGCUGUCAGUGUGUAUCGCCGUAGCUUCCAUCUUUUGCUUAUUUUUCCCGCUCAGCACACGUACGAUUUGAGUCCGUCAUUCUGACCAAUUACCACCGAUGACAGUGUGUUCGUCCCCCGCGGAGCCGCCACUGGUUGCCGACUGGCUAACAGGACUAAUGCCUUAUUGCAUUAGAGACAAAUCUGUCCUCAGCACAGAUUUUAAUAAGCAUCAGCCACUGCUCAAGUGCUGUCGAACAAUGGGUAGAAGGUUGACUGUUGUGUAUGCAGGCUUCACUUUAAUGAGAAAUUGCAAAAGCAGAUAAUGGAAAUAUUUAUUUUCCGGACAGAUGCUAGGGGGUAAAGAAAACUCAAAGUCUCAAGGAGGAGGAAAUGUUCAAGCCCACUGUGUGCACUAAAUGGGUCUUUGUUUACACAGUCAUAUCUGUUUGAGUCGGACAUACGUGGUCUACAGCUGCUGGGGAAAUGCCUCUGGGGUAAUGUGCAAGGCAUGUGUGGUGGUCUGAAACCGGGGGAUUGUGGUUUGGCAGCUCUUUUCUCCUAACACAUUGUGCAUUCUGAAAACAGGAAGCAUGGCUUUACGAAUGCAAAUGAAACACUCGCACCAAUGUCUGUCUGUCUUCCUGCAUGGCUAUUUUGCUAGUUUCGCACCUAAACCAGUAUAUACUCUCAAGGGAGUCAGGGUUUUGAGUGCACGGGGAGGAGUUGUGAUGGUUUCUGGCUCAUGUCCUGGAGAACUGUGGCUGCUGGCCAUCUCUUUCAGUGUGAAAUGCUGGUAAUAACUUAGCCUCCUAAAGGUCUCUCUCAGUGUGCUGUGAUGAAAAUGAAUUGAAUCCAUCCAUGUGGAAUCUGGCUUGAGUAAUCCGUAGCCCUCCAGGACAAAGAGUUGGAUACCUCUACCUUGGCUGUCGCUGAAGUAACAUUCCAUUGCAUGUUUUCCAACAUCCACAUAAGCAGACACACCUAAAACAAUGUCGGGAAACCAUGGGAAUUGCUCGGGAUUAGUGUUUAAAUACAAGUGCCAGGAGUCUGUGUUCUUUUGUUUUCUUAAGGAGAUUGAUGAGCCUGUAUUUCAAUGCGGCUAAACUGGAUUUGAGCUUAUUGAAGUGCUCAUCUUUCAGCAUAGCUGUUGCCCUUAUCUCAGUAGAAGCGAACUAAAGCCUUUGGGGCCGGAGUCACCUUUCGGUGACUUGGGGGAGCGGACAGAAUUUUUCUUCACCUUUUGAAAGUUAUUCAAACUUGUUUGGAAGUUGGUGCAUCCAAGAACACUCGUACACAGCCUGCAAAUUAGUACGUAUGACUACAAAGAGAAUACCCAAUAACUUGGCAUAUGUUUUUACCUAUUUUGUAAUGUCAAAAAUAAAAAGAAAUUGAAUUCUA